AUGCCAAUGAGGAAGAUAUCCCCUAAAAAGAUAGGAAGUGCCGUAUGACACACAAAAAAAAACAUUGAAUAUCACGGCAGACACGUUUUUCCCAUCCACCAAUCAACUUAACUAUCCGAUCAUUAACACGAUUUUAUAGUUUGUGUUUUUUGGUCGGGAAUUUGUGUCUGUUUUGUGUUUUCACUGUUUGUGUGUGAUUUGGAACGGGUCUCCUGAGGUUU
Molecule: small nucleolar RNA, 221 nt
Organism: Erigeron canadensis
Lineage: Eukaryota; Viridiplantae; Streptophyta; Magnoliopsida; Asterales; Asteraceae
Product: small nucleolar RNA Z112
Exons: 1
Source: RefSeq, a predicted model, not a curated record